This is a non-coding RNA of Equus caballus (horse), 783 nucleotides long. The record is from the annotation of a RefSeq genome assembly. NCBI's taxonomy places the organism in Eukaryota, Metazoa, Chordata, Mammalia, Perissodactyla, Equidae.
GCUCACUGAGGGGCACAUUCUGAGUAGAAUCAACACCAGGAGCAAUCACUGUCAAGGAAGCAUCUCUCACUAAUAGUCUGUAGAACUCUCCUAAACAGAGAUCUCUUGAAUCUCACAUUUUCACAUUUUCCCAAUUAGAAGACUGGGCAUACUCUGGCACAUUCCUUCCUGCUCCUCGGGGAAGAUCUUCCAGAAUAUAACUCUCAGCUUCCUCACUGCCUGGCCAUGUUCUCAGCGACCAUUCUGCUGCUUGGAAUGCUCUUCACAGUGAGAGGAACCAGAGCCCAGUCAGUGACCCAGCCUGACGACCACAUCAUUGUCUCUGAAGGAGCCCCUCUGGAGCUGAAGUGCAGCUAUUCCUAUACUGGAACUCCUACUCUCUUCUGGUACAUCCAGUACCCCAGCCAAGGCCUCCAGCUUCUCCUCGGGUACUUUUCAGGGCCCACCUUGGUUAAAGGCAUCAAAGGUUUUGAGGCUGAACUUAAGAAGAAUGAAACUUCCUUCCACCUGAGGAAACAAUCAGCCCAUUUGGGGGACUCAGCUGUGUACUUCUGUGCUCUGAGAGACACAGUGGCUGAGACUGCAGGGGGAGCUGAACACAAACCUCAUGAGACACUGGAGUUUUCAGAGACUCAAGGAUACAGCCUGACCUGUUUUUAUCAAGGUCUCUCGUUGGAUGAAAGUGAGCAGGAUGGGGAGCAGAGCCCUGGAGAGUUCUUGUCUCUUGAGGAUAAAAAGGAACUUCAAAGUAUUCCUUCCUUUACCACUGGGACAUGUUAAACA